RNAcentral lists this ribosomal RNA (443 nucleotides) under uncultured bacterium. Its description in RNAcentral is "partial 16S ribosomal RNA". It matches the Rfam family "Bacterial small subunit ribosomal RNA", at positions 338 to 795 of the family's 1533-position model. The record is from RNAcentral.
CCUACGGGAGGCAGCAGUGGGGAAUAUUGGGCAAUGGGCGCAAGCCUGACCCAGCAACGCCGCGUGAGGGAAGAAGGCUUUCGGGUUGUAAACUUCUUUUAUCAGGGACGAAGCAAGUGACGGUACCUGAUGAAUAAGCCACUGCUAACUACGUGCCAGCAGCCGCGGUAAGACGUAGGUGGCAAGCGUUAUCCGGAUUUACUGGGUGUAAAUGGCGUGUCGGCGGGUGUGCAAGUCAGAUGUGAAAACUAUGGGCUCAACCCAUAGCCUGCAUUUGAAACUGUACUUCUUGAGUGCAGGAGAGGCAAUCGGAAUUCCGGGUGUAGCGGUGAAAUGCGUAGAUAUACGGAGGAACACCAGUGGCGAAGGCGGAUUGCUGGACAGUAACUGACGCUGAGGCGCGAAAGCGUGGGGAGCAAACAGGAUUAGAUACCCUGGUAGUC